UCCAAUAAAACAGAGAGAGAGAGAGAGAGAGAGAGAGAGAGAGAGAGAGAGAGGCUGUCCCUUCCCUUCUGAGUGGUGGCACUGAGAAGCAAUGUCCUUCUCUGAGAGAUUUAGAAUUAAAAAGGAGCAGCAGACACUCAUUCCAAGAAGGGAGGACCUGGUUUUUCCCAGGCUGUCCUUGAGGCUGGGGGAAGGGAAAAGGCUGCUGUCCUGUGCUGGCUUGACUCCCUCUCUAAUGAAUACCAUCUGGGCCUUCAAGCAUUUUUGUGUGGUGGAAGUGUUCUGUUGCCCAUGCUCACCCACCCUGGGCUCAGACACAGUUCUCCAUUCCAAAGACCCAUUGCUAUAGACAUGUAUCCUCUGGGAGGCAGCGGGAGCAUCCACACAACUGGGUGUGGGUGAUUCAUUAUUCCACCUGUCUGGACCCCAGGACACAUCAGGAAUGUAAUCUGUUGCCGCUCCUGAUAGCUAUUGUGAAGAUGGCUUCACUCAGUCCUCGUAAGGUGGUCUCUCCUGAUAUUAAGCCCCAAACAAAUGAGGAGACUGGGCAAUAAAGCAAGCUUCCUCCUUACACAUUUUUCAGAAGCUGGUGGGCUCCAUGUGGACCAUCAAGGGGCCAUCAAAGUCUCAAAUAGGUGCCAGGACUGUGACAGACACCAGAGUGGCCUAGAGAUGAGGCAAACACACAAUAUUUGACUAGGGCUGGGCUUAGAAUUAUGGAAGACCUUUCACUAGGUAGGUAGAGCAAUUGGAGAGCUAAGGUAGUAGUUGGCCUGUCUCUGAACAGAAUGUGCCUUCAUGGAAGAUGUGUGAGCAUCUAGAGCCAGCAGGUCCUAAGACAUGGUAUAUUCUGGGAGUCUGGGAAACACAUCCCUGCCUGUAACUUGAGUUGGUUACCCUGUGGUAGAACCCAGGAACUGUUUUAUAAUCUUUGUUCGUGCUUCUACAGUGAGUCGGGGUUAAGAAUCAGAGAGCUACCUCCUGGCUCUAACGCUACUAAGUCACAGGAAAAGAAGCAAUGCAGCACACAGUCGUCAUUGAGUGAUGACAGCUCACCUCACUGUGAUCAAAUAGCUGACAGAAGCAAGGAUGCAUUUUGACUGACAGGGAAGGCAUACUGGAGUUCAUGGCCACUGUGGGAUCAUGCCGUGGGUGGAAGCUUGCCACAUCUUAUUGAAGCAAGAAACAGAAAUAAGACAUAGAAAGAGGACCAAGCUCAAACCCUCAAGCCCCACCCAUAAUGUCAGCUAAGCCUCAUGCCCCCAAGAUUCUAUAACCUCUGCGAGUGGCACUGCCACCUGGGAAACAAAGGUUCCAGCAAGCAUGUAAGCCUUACCUAGGAAAGGGGGAAGCAUGAGAAAAAUGGUUUGUGUGAAAUUAUUAAAGGAUGUGUGGUGGGUGUGUGUGUGUACCUGUGUGUGUGUGCCUGUGUGUGUUUGGGAGGGCAGUCAUCCUGGGAGGUAUAGGUAGGAAGUGGAAAUGUGUUGUCUCUUCCUUGUGUGACAAUGUGACCCACCACAGUCCAGUGAGGACAGAAGGCCCAUGGUCACUUAGCAGGGUGUGUAGUUGAUCCAGGCUAGAAGGGAAGCCAGUGCUCCUUGUGUCACAAGGAGACACACACACACACACACACACACACACACACACACACACGGACACACACACACACGGACAUGGACACGGACAUAGGGAAAAGGGAGUCUUUGCUCUUGUGUGCUCCAAGGGCCAGGUGGCCGCAAAGCCAACUUGGAGCCCUCUGCUUGGGAGCUCCAUCUCCCUGCCCUGAUGUCGGCUGUCCUGCCCUAGAGGAGUGCCUUCUGCAUGGCUGGCACAGUGCCUUCCUUGCUGUCAGAAUGACUCAGAUCCCCUCCUGGCGCUCGCCUGCUCAGGCAGCACAAGCUGUUCCUUUGGCUUGUGGAGAUGGAGCCGCAUUUCUCUCUCCAGGACGGAGGCCAGGAAGAGGGGUGGAUGUGUGUCGACCCUCUUCCCCUCUCCCUCUCCAGGCACAGGGGUGGAACAGGAAGACAGGAAGGCUGCAUGACAGGCACUGCAUGGCUUCAGUUUACUCCCCAUGUAACUGCCUAGCUGGGUCUGGCCUUGCUCAGGGCAUGCACAGCAGGACACCAGGCAUUCGGCACAAGCAACUAGGCGAGGUGGCACUUGAAUGGGAGACUUUCCUGAAAAGUUAGCAAUACUGGUGGACAGGGAACAUUGACAGCGACUGUCGGGAUGUGACAUAACCUAAGGUCAUUCUGCACAGAGAGGAUUUGGGCAACGUGUUCACAAGGCAUCCUACAGCCUUUGCAUGGCCGUGGGACCAUGGUUCCUUAGCAAUCUCCAGGGAGCAGCUUCUCCCACCCUCCCUCCUAUCCCCUCUCCCUCUUUCCCUUCCUUUAUAGAAUUUUGAACUUGGAGAUGCCAAGUCAAACGCAGAAGGUCACAUAGAUGUUGAAGGGCAGAGCUGAAAACCCAAACCAAGUCUUGGGUUUACUUCAUUUUCUUUUGAUGGUGUUAGGGAUGCACCCCAGAGCCCGUGCUCUGCUGCUGAGCUGUCUGAGCCUGGUCUUUUGAGUUACAAAUUUUUAACAGAUCCUGUGCUUGCAAGAGUGUUCGUGCCCUCUCAGCUAUUAGCACUCAUCUUAUGUAACCUGUCUUUGCAAUGUCACAGGAUGACUUUGGGUGCUUCAUGGACCAUCCGCACUUUCAAAGGGUAGCAUAUAGGUAACUAGGCAGUGGGAGGCCCCAAGGCUGAAAGACUGGCCACCCACCUGGAUGAUGUUUCCUCUGUCCUUGAGAUGAAAUAGAUUGUGCCUAGCCUAACAUACGGUUUUAGACUGAACCACACAAAAUCAGCAUUUUUGAUGGUUAAGAAUGGUCACCUCAUGGUAAUAUUUUAGAGGCUAACCUAAUACAGUAAAGGUUCUAAAUAAUAUGGCCCACGACUUGAGAGGAUCUAGAGGCUCGGGGCUCAUAGUUUCAUAACAGACACAACUCCAGGAAGUGUGUGUGUGUGUGUGUCUGUGUGUGUGUGUGUAAUUGUGUUGAGAGUGUGGCCUCAGGGUUAAAGAGCCCUAGCUGGAAGCUUUGAUUUUGUUCUCUACCUGCUCUGUGACCUUGAAUGAGUCACUAAUCUCUCUCUACCACACAAAUUUCUCCUCAGGAGAACAAGAAUAAUAACAUACUCACCUCAUGGAGUUGUGGAGAUUAUGUAAGUCAGUGAAGGCAGAGGCUUUGGGGUGUGUGGUAGAAAGAGUGCUGUCACCUCCCCCUGCUGCUAUUAUACAGGUUCCUAAUAUUGCCACAUCUCAGAUGGAAGCGUACGAGUGUGCUCUUGCCAUAGAGUAGAAUCUUCUGUUGCCUACAGUCCCUGGGUCAGGGGGAAGCUCCCAGAAAAGCAUCACCUGUGCUCUCCAAAUACAUCACAGCUGGGGACGUGAGGGGAGGCGCUUACCUUCAAACCCUUCACAACAGGCUAGAGACGUCUGGAGUGGUUCAGGGGCCGAAUGACCCAUUCACAGGAGCUGCAUAGCAGAUAUCCUGCACAUCAGGUAUUAACAUUAUGAUUCAUAACAGUAGCAAGAUGACAGUUAUGAAAUAAAAAUGAAAAUCAUUUUAUGGAUGGGGGUCAUCACGCCAUGAGGAACUGUAUUAAAGGGUCACAGCGUUAGGAAGGUUGAGAACCACUGCCCUUGAGAAACUAUACUCAGGGGCUAGUUCUCUCUUCUGAAGGAAAGGCCCUCGUAAGUAUCUGGAUGAGAGGCAGCAGGCCGAGCCUGAGCCUCCCAGGCCUUUAUUUCCCAGCUUGCUGGACUGGGUAACGCUCUCACCUAGAUUGUCCAAGAAGGGGAGACCCAUGAAUAGUACCUCCUUACCUCAACAGACGAGAACCCCUGAGUCAACAUGGAGCUGCAGUUCAUAGAAGCCCAUUGCUGAACUACUACUAGUCCAGGGGUCCCCAGAACCUCCUCACUAACAUGAUUCAUGGGGCCCCGUGACAGCUGUCAUACUCCUUUUGAUGGUAUAUUAUAGGAAAUGGGCUAGGGUUGAUCAGCCACAGAGACACUCGUGGUAGAACCCAAUGAGAGUUCUGAACAUGGAACUUCUAAGUGUUUGCUCCUUUGACUCAGGGUAGCACAACCUUCCUGAUGUCAAUGCAUGAUGACACAGGGGGACUCUAAGGACUGACAGCAAGCCACUUUGGUGUCCAAGCAUUUCAUCCAUGUUCCAACCACAUGAGCACAGGUGACCUCUUGUGUGGCUCAUAUCAGUCUGUAGCAACCUCCCCCCUCCCUGUACAAUGUAAACGGACACAAUGUGACCUCCAAAUUCCUCUUGACAUAACACUGUUGCUAGGGCUCAAAACCCACACCACCAAUCAUACCCCAGUUCCCCAAAGCAAAGAUCUACAUGACAGUGGGAUAUUCCAAGGGCUUCUUGAUUUCCUCAUAGAAACCGCAGGUGAAGUCAGAGAUCUUUGGGGAAAGGUCAGAGUUUUAACUACACACAUAGGCUCUGGGGACACAGCUGUUCAGGGAGUUCACAAUCUAUGGGAAGAGAAGAUCAGGACAUCAGACCCUAUGCUGGUGGGGUUGCACAACUGCUCAUGACCACCAGGGGGCGCUUCAGUGAGACUAGGCAUGGCUGGUCAGGUAGGAAGCUCACUAGCUCCAUGGGUCCCGAGGACUUCUCCAGGCAGCAUCCUCACUGACUCUGGGGAUUCAGGGAUCGAUGAGUAGGGAGGACAACUGAACAUCAGGGAAACAUUGGGGUGUUCGUAUCUCAAGAAUGAUGGGACAGCGAAGCUGACCAAGAGCGACUGAGUAGGGACAACCGUUUAUGGACAUGGUUAUGCAAAUCACCAGAGACCUGACCAUAAACCACCUAUUGCUUCUGGUCCUCAUUUGGAGACUGCUUUCUCUAGUGACUGCAGCACAGUAUCUCUGAGUUCAGAGAAUACACAAGUGUUCUUUUGCUCUGAGGUUGUAGGCCACUGCCCUGGCUGCAUUUGCAGUGAGAGGGAGGGGUGUCCUUGGUGUCUUUCAUGCCCAAGCCAUUUGGCUACAUGAUCUCCACCUUUGCCUAUUGCAGUCUCUCACCAUUUACAGGGGUUAUCUCCCUCUGUUCUUGACCUUGACGGAAACCUCGAUGACGAAUGGUCCUUUAGCCUCCUUUCAUACAGAUAUUUCAUAUUCUGUGGUUGGCCCUCAUCUCGGAGCCCUUGGGGAUGAGAAAACUAAUUAGGAGCAAUGGUGGCAGCUGCCAGCCUACAGAGUGGGCCUUCUGGGAGAUCUGUUAAGUGUCAAUGAACUAUAGAUACCACAUUUCAGUGUGUCUCUCUGCAAUGGUGGCCAUGAUUUUGUGCCCUACCAAUUUUCAUGAUCUGACUCCACAUCACCCUGAGAUUCUUUGUGGGGAAGGGGCGGGGGAGGGGGCAUGGGAAGGGGCAGGAACAGGGACACACACACACACACACACACACACACACACACACACACACAUGUAUUAUAUAGACAACAAUGAAAUGACUGGAUUUCUGGUUUUCCUGCCUCUGCCUUCCAUGAGCUGGAAUUACAAAUAGGCACCACAGUAGCAAGCCUGUGAUUUGGUUUUCAAAAAUACAUCUUGGUGUCAGUGUAUUUGACUCAGAGAAUCAAGAAAAAGAAAACUUGGCUCCCGCAGUUCACAAGAAUUCACUGAAAAAUUAUCAUAAGGCUGGCACACCAGGGCACCGGGAAUUCAAAGCCACCCAGGCAAGGUCAUAGAACCUAGAAAUACAAUUCAGUAGAGGAGAGAGAGGCAUUAAAUAAUUAACCAAGUGACUGAUACUGGGUUGGGGGCUGGGAAGGAGAGAUAAAGAAUUGACUCUGUGCUCAGGAUCAGAGAGGGGUCCCAGGGAAGGAGCUGUUUCAGGCAGCCGUUGAGAGAAUGCAAGAGCUGUGCAGCUGGAGAAUGAGAAGAGUUAUUCCAGGCAAUGGCAGAUGCACACACAGAAACAGGGAGGUGUGAGAACGCAUGGCACUCACGGAAGACACAUCAGAGCCAAGGCCGCCACCCACUGCUGUGCCAGCUGUGCACUGCAUAACUCCAGGGGAGGCCAGGGUCCCAGACUAAGAUGUGAGCAGCACAGAUGCUAAGAUAGCUUCACAGUCACCGGUCCUAAGGAUGAUGCGUGGGAAAGAGUCCUGAGAAAGCCUGCUUCCGUUGCUUCUGUUGCCUUCGCUGUCAUUGUACAACUGAGCCACUAGGCACACUAGUGGAGCAGCUCUUGAGGUCUGCCCAUAGCUCUGCUGUGCUUGCUGACUCUGCACAAAGGGCGCCCCGAGGAACUGGGCUAGCAAUGACCAGCCGGGUUGUCUGGGGGGCUUCUCAGCAGUAGUUCGUGUUUCAGUGGCAGGUGGUGGUUGACUAGAGAGCCUCCACCCAUCAUCUUUGGCAUUUUGGGGUGGAAGGACACAGUACUGACCAUCUAGCUAAGGAAUGGGAAACUGAGUUUCCAGAAGAAGAUGCCCCCUCAAAGCCAAGAGCUUCGUAGUUUCUGAGCCUUGGCAAGAAGCUCAGUCUCCUUGGAAUGUAUUGUCUCAGCUCUAGUGAUGGACAGCCUUUGGAAUCUCAGCGGAUUGGGAGUUCAUUCUUACCACAGCCCCAUGCAGGCUGGGGGUCUAUUCUGGAUGCAGUGCAGGGGGGAGCAGGGGGCUCUUGUGUUUUGGUUGGGAUAAUGCAGAAAAGUUGCCCACUCUUAAAAGCCAUGGAUGGGAAGUCACAACAAGUCUCAGUGAUGGGAAGACUCCUACAAUAUAGGGGCGUGAGAUGCAGGAGAUGCAGUCAAGCUAUAGGUCAGGAAUCUGGGAUAGACUUAGAGCAUCCCACAGACCCAGCCACGGUCAUGAUUGUGCAGUCGUCACUGACACUGGCAAUGCAGUGACAAUCAGCUGCUCUCUACAUGAGCCCUCCAGUGUCCCUCCUCAUGGUCCCUCCCACAGGGGAAAGCUGAGAUUUGGAGAAGGCUUCAAACUGUCCAGGUCAUUGCAAAUGUACAGGUUCAAAAGGUAGACACUAUGUGAGUCCAGCUCUGAGGGAGCGCUUUCUCCCUGUGGGUGUACAAGGAAGGAUCUUCAGGUUGGUGACAUGCCUCUCAUUGGAUGGUGCUCCUGGUACAGCCUCAGAACAAAUGGUCUUGGUGGCAGAUGAUGAGCUCACUGGGACUGUAGAGGGCAGGGUAGAGGAGCCCAGCUGUCACUCUGUGCAGUUUCUGUCAGUCACGCUGACUUCUCACUUGCCAGAAAAUUGUUUAUUGUUAUUAACAGAGAGCCAUCGCUUAGAUUUAUCUGUGAGUGAGGUGUGUGUGUGUGUGUGUGUGUGUGCGUGUGCACACACACACAUUUAUAUGCAGUUUGGUUUCCACUGUCUCCCCUGAGGUAGAGAACAGAAACUAGUAUUUCUUUCUUUCUGCCUCCGGGCAUGUAGGUUUCAUGACCUGGGUUGAAGGUAUUGCUUUGAAUAGAGAUGCCAAUGCAGAUUUCCUUCCUAGAAUCUCUCUCCUAGGAUCCUGGAGAUCAUCUGAUUCCUCCAGAUCUCGAGCCCCUCCCCACCUUUCUACAGGAGGCUGGGCUCUUUCCUGUUUCUUCUGUUACAACCCCCCAAAGUUCUGACUCAGCUCCAACACACAAUCUACACAGCCUGCCACAAACAUGUCCUGGAGACAUCUUAGGAGUGACACAGAGACAUGGGAGACUCUACUCAGACCCACCCCAAACAUGGACGUAUAGCUGGUACGGUUUCUGUCUACCAGCUCCUAGUUUGCAGAUACAAAGUUGAAUAUCUCUAGUAUUCAUGUUUUAGCUUAGCCCUGGGCUCCCAUCUCCUAACUCUUAAGCCCUUUUAACCAGUAGCCUUGAUUCCAGUAUGGAAACGUCAGAACAUCGAAGACACAUUUUCUUAAAUAAUAAGCACAUUGAGGUUUCCAGAGCCUUUUGGUGAGAGCUAGGUACUCUAGUUGUGGGAGCAACCAAUAAGAAUCUUUAUCCGCCUCCCUUCCACGCCUCAGGACGACAUGAGGUGAGUUACUGUGUGACAACACCUGAUUACUCACGGUAACUUGUUUCUUUUCCUGUAGCUGUGAUAAAAACACCCUGACCCGAACAACUUCAGAAACGAUCACUUUGGCUAGCAUUUUGAUGCUCAGUCCAUUAUGUCAGGGAAGAUAAGCUGCAGGGGCUUGGUGAAACAGGGUGCUCACAUUGAACCCAUAGCCAAGAAGCAGAGACCGUUGCGAUGCUCCUGGUCUCCAUUUUAUACUGCCUGAGGAGGGGUCUGGCUCCCAAUGAAUGCAGGCUUUCCCCACAUGAGCUGAUGUAGUAAGAACAAUCCGAUAGCUGAUUUUAGAUUUUGUCAAGCUGACAAAUAACACAUUGCCAAGGUCAGAGGUGACUUGAAGAUCUCUCUCUCCACCCAGGAGCACAGGCCAGUGACCACUGGGGUUUCUGGCUUUCAUGGUCAUGCCAUUAGUGACAAUAUGGCAGCUUAGCGCCAGUGACUGCAUGAGCACACAGUUGUGCCAGGUGGUAUGUUAUGUGCGUGGCAUGUAUCCGUUGCCCCAUUUGACUUCAUUUCCUAAGAGAUAAGUGUUAUUGUACCCAUUUUCACCCAAGGUUUGUGGGUUAAAUCACCUUGCUAAGGUAUCAGGUGAGUGUGGAAUAAAGUUUGGAGUUGUGGCACCAACUCCAUCACCAACAACUGCAGCGGAGGCUAGGCUACAUGCAGAAGGUCGUGUCAGGACACCACUGCAGAGCCCAGGAAAAGGAACACUUCAUUAAUUCACACAGGGGAGCCUGUCCUAGACAAGCCUGAAGUUCAGCCGGAGCUAGGUAGGGAGACCCUCCUCCCCAAACCUACAACAGACAAACCAAUAAAACACUAAAGGGUCCUCACAGGCUGAUUAAGAGGCAGGUGACUUCAGAAGGAGAGGCGGGGUCAGAAGGAAGCACCCGGAUGGAAUGGUGGGAGGAGCUUCAUUUCUCUUUCCGGGGCGGGGCUUAGGUUUGAGAGCUCUGGAUGCACUCUGUUAUUUUAAAGAGCGUGGUUCUUUUCUCUCAGUUUGCAGCAGGGCAUUCUUAAGCCAUCCUCUUAAGCCACAGAGGGUUCCCGGGCAUGGAUGGAGCCCCAGGCCUGUAUGAGUUUAGCCCCAGGUCCUCACAGCAUCCUGCCUGCGGCAGCCCAGCAACACGGCCCCAAGAAUGGAGUGUGGCUCCAGUGGUCUCACCUGCAGGCAGCGAUCCAUUUCUCUCUGACUGACACCGCAGAGCCUGGGUGCUGGAACCCCAGCCCCAGCUGGAGCUGUUGCUUCUACAUUCCCUGAUCUCUCCUCUGCAAGCAGAGGCAGUAGCAUGGGGGAAGAGAGGGCCUGAAAUCCUGGUACUUCCUAGCGACUGUAUCAGCUGGAUGGAGUUUUCCGCUCAUUCUGUAUUGGCCUCUGUGUCUGGCUGUGUGGUCAGUCUCUACUGUGGUAGCCUCGGGCUUUUCCUCUGAAAAUAACUAGCAACGAGCCAUAAAGCGACCCGUGACUCACUGUCGUUAAGCCGAUGAAAUCUUAUUGAAUAGCCAAGUGUUAAGGCUUGCACGAGUAGAAUUCAGUCACAGUUGUGGCGGGCAAGAUAGAGAGCAGAAAAAAGAGAGAGCCACCCAGUUGUUGGCAUCCUGGGGGCUGUUAGGAUAAGCCAGUGGCAGCAAGACAUCUUUUCCAGGAGUGUCUAUGACCAAGAUAGACUUGUGGGAUUGUAGGAGAGAUGGGGGUAAGUCACAAAGGGCACAUUUGCUGUAGUCAGCCCCAGAGAUGUUCAUAUUUUCAAGGAAACACCUUGUGUUUGAGUUUUACUGUGCAGCCCACUGCCCAGGGACCUUCUUAGAAGGUGGGCUUAGGUCCAGUGGUCUGGGUGGGGCUUGAGUUUGUGUGUUUGUAACAAGCUUUUAGGAAUAGCUAUUGCCGCCACUGGGCUGAAGACACCUGGGGAACAUGUAGCCAAGAAGAAGAGAGUAGGGUCCUCCCGGAAACAAAGACUUGACUCAAGUGUGACUCCCCUUACAUUUAAAUGUCUUGAUGAAAACAUCCUGACAUGCUUCUGCUGUGGGAAGGAGAAGAACCUAGGAUUCAUGGCUUCUGCUGAGGACAGCCAAGGGCUGCUGAAGGGCAAGGCCAGCAGAAAGACCCAGGGAGUGCCCAGGACCUUAUGAUCCACACAGCCUGUUCAGCACCAGCCAGUUACUGCUGUGAUCCUGUCAUCAUGUGGCAUCCUUCCCCAGAGGACACCUGGUGGCCUCAUUGAGGUGGAAGGAGUGACCAGCAAUCUGCUCCCCACCCCCAUCCUCGACCUGGGCAUAGCUGUCAGCCAACAGUCUGCGGAGAUAGGCACUCUCAAUUCCUGAGACAUCAGUGUCCAAUCGUGUCUUGAGUUACUCUUUGGUGAUGUCUGGAAGGUGAGUCCUUGGCAGUCAAAAGGUCGGUCCUCAGGGUAAGAUUGAGCAAGCAGUGGUGCAGUAGGAGUGUAAGGAUGGAGACAAUGUUACAUGCUAGCACUGUGGACCCUGGGGCCAAAGCAGACCACACAGGCCCUCUUGCUUACCCUUAUAUACUCUUAUCUGCAAAGCUCAUCCUCUUUUCAGUCUGAAGAAAGGGAGGGCCUGCAUCCAGGUUCAUGCAUUUGUCACAGAUGCCAAAUCACAAGGGCCCGUGCCAUAAAUCCCCCAAGAAAUCUAGAAGGUCCAGGCUGUUGAUGUCUAACCUGUCUCCUGCCUCAGCUCAGGGGACCAGGAAAUUAUCCCUGAGAAAUGGUGCUCAGGUUUCUGGGCUGAGUGGUGAUCAGGCACUGCGUCUUGAAUCUAGAGGUUCUUCCAGACCAGAGUGUGUGACCUAUCAUAAUUACCUAGAUACCUGAUGCCACCCACUUUGUCCUUACUGCCUAGGGAGAGUCAUACUGCACAGUGACCUCUGAGCCCUAGGCCAGAAGGCCCUGACACUUUUGUCCUUCUACCCCCAGGGAACAUCCGACAGAGUCUGCAGGUGUUUUUGGCUGUCAACCCUUAGUCAUGUGAGUCUAGUGGAUAGUGGCCAAGGAUGCUGACAGAUUCCUACCAAGGCACAGAACAGAAUGACUCAGCCCUAACUGGGGAGAAGCCUUGCUCUAAAUAAGUAUUUCUGGGGUUCAGGGCUAGCCUGGGGGAACUGGUGCACAGGCAGCAUGGCUGUGUCUUUGCAGACAGCUUACUGCAAGGUGAGACCCUGGGGCCUCAUGCCUCCCCUUUCAGUGACAGUCAAUGAGUGUCCUCUCUUCCAUCUGGCCUUGUUAUUUGCUUUACAGGCUGUUCAUCUGAUGUCCAGGUGGCUUUAAUAGGUGGCUGUGACCUACAGGAAGCAGGGAAAAGGGAGAACUUCCUCACGUUACAUUUGGUGGUGCAUAUCCGUGAACUUCAGCCUUACCUGAGAGUCAGCACAGGUAUUGUGCUGAACCAGCCAGUGCAGCUCUGGAUAGUGGCUGAGACCUCAGGAAGGGAGGUCACCUUUCUGUUCUAAGCUUCCCUGCCUUCAAGAGGCAUGGAAGCCAGUGUACUACCCAUGCAGAGAUUAGAAUGGCGCAGAUAUUCAGAAUACUAGUUCUGGCAUAAGCACCCCAAACCUUGAUCAUCUGCUUUAUUCUCUUACCUCGAGUGGGCUGAGCAGGAAGAGCAGUCAUGUCUCCAAGCAGUGUCCAGGAGCUGACCAAAUGGAACACAGCAGACUUGGCAGAGAGUGGGUCAGGAUCUCAAGAGAAGCAGCUCUCUGAAGCUUGAUUGACUGCAGAAAGAAGAGUACAAAGACAUUGUGGUCGACACAUCCAUUGUUUAUGCAGGCUCAGAUGGCCGAAGGUUAGAGUCUUUCCCUCUCUAACUCCUAUGAGUAGUGAGCCCUCCCACGCUAGGGUGAGGCCUAUGGACAGAACUGAGAUGAACAGCCCUAGUCAUGAGAAGAAGCACGGCUGUGUAAAGGAUAUGUGGGCUGUGAGAAAGGUCAAAAGGGCGAUCCCAAGCAGUUCAGUGUAGGUAUGGAUAGAGCCAAGCUGCGGCUUAAGGCUCCCCACCCCAAAUUCAUCAGCCCAGCCCAGUCUGUCUUUUCAUAGUCACAGACUUGGAGUUGUGCAUGGUUCUAUGGGAGUUCUUAGCACCAGUUGCUCCGUCCCACGUCCACCCUGGUUACUCUUUACAAACCAUCCCUUUCCUGGGCUUUGGUUGGAUCAGUCAGGUGGCUGGACCAUGACAUCUUCUUCCUAUCACCACACUCUUCUGCUCACAAGCACACAGUCAUUCAACAUGUGGACAAUUCAAACACAUUUACUUAGAUAACUCACCUAUGCACAGGAACUCAUUCACAUACACACAUUCACUCCUGAACACACACAUGCACUCAUAUAACACAUUCUUGGUUGUAUUUGUAUUAUGUGUACACACAUACACACACACACACACACACACACACACUCCUACCUUUGGCUGACCAAAACUUCAGAAAGCAGCUUUGAACAAAUACCGGCAUCAUUGAUAUUUUUCAGCUUCCUCUGGUGACCCCGUAGAUGAAGAGAUUGUAUUUGAAUGCUAGGGGCUGUGCCAUUCUGCAUAAUCAAUUUUUCUGGUUGUCUGUAAACUCACAAGAACCCCCACAUGGUUUUGUUCCGUGGUUUUGUUUUGUUAUAGCAAGCCGCUGAAAUUUGGCAACACAAUAGCCAUCUUUUGAAUUGUACAGGUUCAUGAGCAUUGAAGACAGAGUUUCCUUGAGACUUGAAGGACUUGGGGUGAGACACAUGUGGUACUGGGAUUCAGCUCUGAAUGCCAUUUAUAGGCCUUGCAAGUUUCUGGCCCUGGGUUAACCUUGAUGGUCUGUCAUUUAACCUGCCUGUAGACAUGCAGACAGCCAUAUUUACUUUGGUGAGAUGUCUUUGAGAGCUGGGAUUCCUGUGGCUGAGCUCUCAGGCUUCAGGGGUGAUGUUCUAUAGGAGACUCUGCCAGAAUGUGUCUGUGAUAUAGGUGUGAUAGGGUGGGUAUUUUAUGAUAGAAUUCCCUUUGUUGAGUGGAGCAAAUCUUCCAGAAGGGAAGAAAAUCCUGUACUCAGCAUAUUGGGCUUCUGGUGGCAUUCAAGGCAAAGAAGAUUUGGAUGAAUUGUCAGACAGUCACAAACGCAUGCAGGCUCAUGCUGGGCCUCUGAUAUCCCCAGAGUCCAUGGAAAGAGAAGAACCAGCAGGCUAGUUAAACCAGCGAGCAGGAAGCUUUGAGGACUGAGUCAGGUGAGGAUAGCAAGAACUCUGUUGUAGAAGGUUCUGUGGCUCCUGGGGCUAUGGCUGCACUCAUUUUUUAAAAACAGGAUCAUGUUCAGGCACCUUAGGCAAAGCCAGACCACCGCACACAACCCAAACCUCAGUGGCUGCCUGAAUAGAACGGAGGCCACUUAAUUCCCUUCCUUCUCCUUCUCUCAUGUAGAAUACCAUGAAUGCAGCUCUAAGGCAUACCCAGGACCAGACGAAGAAAACAGAGAGCCAAAAAAGCCCUGGUACUCCGUCUCCUGGGUCCGUUCAGCCUUUGUAAUGAUUAAUUAAUCACAAGUUAGUAAACAAUAACCAUGAAGCAAUAGGGAAGGCAGACUGUGUCUUCUAGUGAUUGUAAACAUGUUCAACAGAAAUUCGUCCAAAACAGAACUACCUGCCUACAUCAAGCCAAGUGCUCAACAGGACAUGGCAAAGCCACAGAGGACCAGGUGUCGUAUGCUUCUCUGGGGAUGCAGAUACUUUUGGGGAGCCAGGGCACAUCUCAAGAAAAUCACUGCUACACCCCCAGUGACUGUGGUAUUAGGUUUUUGGCCAUCCAGCCAAGUUCCAGCAGACUACUAGACUGGGAAGCCAGCUAAUUAGGAAUAUCUUCUUCCUUCUUCCUUAAGAGAAAUCCCGGCUAGGCAUACAGCGUCUUCCAGAUAUCCAGGAAGGAGAUUUUUAAGAAAGUCAGUUCAUGCAAAUGAAACAAGAGGAUUUCCUUCUUUUUGUUCCAAAUCUUGGAAUCUGGGGACUGUAUUGUCAUAAGAAAGGGCCAUGACACUUUUGUUCCAAGACAUUAAAUAGUCACAUUAACUGGGCAAGCUCACCCCUACAUCCAUGUGCAUCUGGUAGAAACUGGGUCUUUGACAUCCCCUGCUUCCCUUGGGACCUUUCUUAGGCCAAAUCUCCAAGCCAAUGCCAUCUCUGGUAUGUCCCUCCCUAAUAACCUACAAGCUAUGUUGAGCCUUGAUAAUGAUCUCUGCUUUCCUCCUGUGACAACUGUCAACAUUUUUUCUUCUCUGCUUCCUCUCAAGAGAAGCCACUUACUUUUAAAGAAACAGUUUCCUGCUAUGUCCCAAGCUAUCUCUGAACUUGCUAUGUCCUAGGGUUGCAGGAGUGUCCACCUUGCCCUGCUUUGGCCCUUUAACUUCAGAGCAUGCUCCAAGGUUCCAUGGUACCUUACUGUUUCUUUAUCUUCUUUUCCUUCAGUGCCUUAAUUGAGAGCAAAUCUCUCCUUGUCUCUCUGGGGGCCUGAAACACGGUUGUUAUAAGGAAUAAUUCUCAACUGGGGAGAUGAAAACAAGCAUCCAUUCAAGGCAGGUCUUGGCUAUAUACCUCGUAAUUGUGUCACUUCAGGUGGAUGGUUUGACAUCCCUGAGCUUAACUCUUGUGUUAGAAUCAUAUAGAUGUUGCCAUUAGAGGGAGACACGGUCAAUGCAUGUCACAGUGACUGGUACACAGCGGCGGCUGUGAUUCUAACAUGCCAUCUUCAUUUCUUUGCACGCACACAACUCGUACUAUUAAAGUUAAUCUUGCUCCCUAUCUGCCACUCUACAAAUGUGAUUUAUGAGCCGGCACCUGGCUCACCACAUUCAAUAAGUCCAAUCUCACUGAAUAUGCUUCCAGCAGUGUUUAUGAUAUGUCUGCUCUUUCUGAUGUCUAGAUACAGUGACCGAAGCAGAGAUUAGGAAGGUGAACCAAGAUUCCUGGAGGACACCUCUGGCACCCUUUGCCCUCACCUCUGGCACUGGUCUCUGAUUAUUUGUUUAUCUCAUAGCACCUGAUCCAUCAAAAUGAUGUCCUUGGCAGUAGCAGGAUAUACCUGGGUUGGGAAAGGAGGGCCAUGAACUUGCUAUUCGGGAGAUUGUCCUGCUGGCUAAGGGCGGGGGUAGUGGGUAACAGGUAGGCUUAGGAGAACUGGACAUGCUUGGUUGGACUGUACUCUCCAUUUCUAUGGAACCACUUGACCUCAGUCCAGGGUGGGGCAGGCCUUGCAGGAUAGGAAGUGAGUUGAGGAAGAGCGGCUUAUGCUGAGGCUCUCCCAGAAGGUGUCUUUCCAUGGUAAACCUGCAUGUUAAGAAAUACUCUUCCUCUAGAUGCAAGAAUAUGACUAAGCUAUGAUGGAUGCAGAGCAACAGGCAAUGAUACGUCCAUGGUCCUCUAGGUGCCCGAAGUCCAGGCAGAUGAGGGAAGCUAGCAAGAACCCUGGUCCUGCCAGGCAUCUGACAGUGCCUGGAUGCUGACUGACAAGGACAGGACAUGGAGAGAUGGAGCUUGAGGCAGGGUUGGGUUUUUCCAAGUAUAGGAUACAGUCACAUGAUAUGGAGGGAAGAGAUGGAAGAGUCAGGACCAUACUGAAAACUAAAAUUUGGGCCAUAUGUAUAGAAGGGAGAGGGGAAGUAGGGAUGGUAUGGAAGAGAAAUCACACCGUAACUAUGAAAGCCAGCCCCUGGAAGGUGUGGAUGUAACCCACAGGAUGCUGGGGGUGUCUUGGAGAAGCAAAAACAAACCAACAAAUCAAACUAGGGUUACAGGUCUGGGUUCAAGUCCUGACAAGUGGGAACUGGCCACUCAUUUGUGACUAAGUCACUGAACUCUCAACUCCCUGUUUCCCAUCCUUGGAACCGGGGUCAUAGUAUCGUCCAUGAGAUUCCAUGGAGCAAGUCAAGAAUUGAGUUUGUAAUACUGGGAUUCACCAUAUUGCAGCCAUGGGAUCUGACUAGGCAUGGCUUUCUUGACUUGCCUCUGGCCUAGCUCUGCUUUGGAAACAGAUUUUUUUUUUGGACAAGAAAAUGUCAUGGUAACAUCUGGUUCUUUUCCUGAUGUUUUAUAAGGCAAAUAGUCCUUUCCAAGUGAACAACUCGGGUUUCAAUGGUAAACUGAGGCACAGAGAACCUUCUAGGCUUGACUGGGUCUUAGAUUACAUCAUAUGUGAGUGCUCCAUCUGCAAACUUGGGGGUCUGUGGCUGAAUAUACACGAGGAGCAUGUGGGCCCCGCUGGGGACAAGAUCUUGACCCAGCAAAGGAAGUCCAGGGAGGAGAGUGGCUGGAAUGCCAAUCCUCAUUGUCCAUAAGCAACCCAAGAUCUCCUGAUAUUGGCCAUCCAGGAUCUUUGGUCUCCACCAUGGUAAUUGACUCUGGCACCCAUCACUGCCUUAGCCUGCCCCUCGUUGAGACUCAGGCUGGUGAGCUGCUUGCACCCCACUGUAGAGGACCAUUUGGAGGGUUUGAAGAGGUGUUGGUAUGUGUCGUGGGUCUUUGUCUCUUCUGUCUUGGGAUCCUCUUUCUCUCCUUAAUGGCUGAGUGCUUGAAGCAAGCCUGAGUCAGUCUCCACCAUUCCAGAACUUCUUUGCUGGGCCUGACUUAGCAUCCUUCUUCUAAGGGACCCUUUAAUUUGGAGUCUUGUCCACCCCAUCCCCGUCCGUCCCUCCCUCCAUCCCUCUUUCCCUCCCCCCACUCUUUCUUGUACUUGCUUGUGUACAUACUGUGUCCCACCAUCCUUCCCAUAGCUCUCUAGCUCCUUCUCCCAAUCUCUUGUCUAAUCUCACCCCACUGUGAUCCCCAGCACUCCGCCUGCAGGAUGGGAGCUGGGAGGCGGUGACUAAUGUGCUCGGAGGUGAGUCAUCUGCUAAAUAUAAAACCCACUCACAUCCCUGGAUGCAAAAAUCCUGAGACUCCGCAUCCUUCUCCAUCCUCCCUCCCUCCUGAGGGCGGGGCAGGAGGAGUUUUACUCUGCACAGAAAACAAGUAAACACCACCACCACCACCACCACCACCACCACCACGAAGCUGCAGUGGUACCAGCAUCUUCCCUGUGUCCUUCAGCUCUGUCCUGUCAGGGCAGCCGAUGUCCCUGGUCUAUGUAGGUACUCUGGGGAGGAGGAGUAAGAGAGAGCCUUGACUCCUGAACCACUGAGCAGUUAAAGAGGCAGGCAUUUCUUUACGAUCCCCCUCUUCUCAGCUUCUGCCCUUUUGUGUCAAGAAGCUCAAACUGUCCCUUGUCCUCAAAGGUACUCAGCCUCCAAACACAGGCAUGCGUGGCAGACUAGGGCACACGCCCACAUGCAGGAUUGAAAUGCAGGGUUUGCAUAUAGGGGGCCAGGACAAGUAACACCUACUUCUUACAUACAGUUGGAUUCUUUCUAGGGCUCAUAGCUAGUGUCUUCAGCUUCAGGUUCUUCUGUAUGGACAGACAUCACACACACACACACACACACACACACACACACCUCCAUAUAUGUAUGGUAUCUUUGACUUUAUCAUGAACACAUAUAUGCAACAUCCUCUAUGUAUUUAGUAUUUGAUAUUGCCUUUGUGUCCGGUGGUCUUUUCACCAUUUUGCUGGAAUGUUCUUAUACUCCUUUGCGAUGCAGCCCCUCAGUGUUCUCGCUUUACAGAUGUGGAGCCCAAAGUUAUGCAGUUAUGCAAGAGCUAAGACAGCUGUCCCAAAGGGCAAUGCCAGGACUGACUGAACCUAUGUGCCUCGCCUACAGGCUAAGCUAGUGCUUUUCAGACUUCUGUGAAACCAACAGAUGCUAACAAAGAUAUCUGUGUCUCAGCGUGUGUGUCCACAUGUGCUUACAUAUAAAACACAGCUUGAAGGAGUAGCACUAACCCUGACCACCUUCAAAUUUCAUCUCUCCUAUGAAUCCCAUGCUAUGCGAAUCUACCCUACUCUUCCAAAGCUAAUCUCUUUCUGAUUUCGCUUUAACAGUGCCAGUGCCCUUCAAGUUUGUUCUGUGCCCCUCUGAGCCCAUGAAAACCAUUGUGACAUCAGAGCGUGAUCACGGCUUCAGUGGAUGGUGUGAGUGCCGAGUCCUGCUCCUAAGAGAACAGAUUUCCUCUGUGGCUUUAGACAAGUGUCUUGACUUCUCUGGGCUUUGUCUUCAUAGAACCUGUUUGCCAUGGGGUCUUACAGGAUAGCUGGAGGCCCAGAUCCUCCCAGACUUAGAUAAGGUGGCCUCCUCAAGUGUGAUUUGGCACUCACACGGUGUGCAUGGGAUGCAGGGAAAACCCAACAGAUGGCCUGGCAGUGUCCACUCUGGCUCCAGGGUGCACUUCUCCCUGCAGCCCAGGGCAUGAGGAUGACCCCGUUUCCAGCCUGGGGGGCAUUUGAUCUGAUUGAAGCUCACAUUUUCUCACGUAAAACAUCCCUUUCAUUCCUUUCCUCGUCCUAUUUUUCUGCUUCUCAUACUUAAUCCCUUUUGGAUUUGGGAAAGACCAAGACAAGACCCCUUUGAUUGAGCUUAAGAGUUUAUAUGCGCAGAGAGACGCAGAGAUGGAGUCAUGGAUCAGAAUCAUCUCUCCAAAUGGACAGCACCUGUGUUCCGAUCUCUGCUGGGUCACUGAGAGGCUGUGUGAGUGGAGAGCCGACAUCUGCCCUGCCUGGGCAUGGUCAGACAGGCGGCACCUGGACGGGUCUCAUCCUGAAUACACCUUCUAGGAAAUGAGAGGAUACAACUGAGACAGGAAGGAGAGGACUAGCGUCAGGGAGAACCUCCCAACGAAGGGCCUAAGAGUUCGGGAGGGUAGGAAAUACUGUGUUUUUAAUAAUUCAGGGAGCCUGCCAGUCUUCAAAACCUGGCCACGCUUACUUGGUCAUUGCCUCCCAACCUUCUGCAGUGGCUUGUCUGGGAGGGGGUUGGUUGUGGGAGAUCUGCCAACAACAACAACAAAGAACUGUCAUAGCAGGACACCCAGGGGCAUUGCCUGGUGUUACCAAUGAGAUUCAGAGGAGGUUUGGCUUGCUUGGAUCUCACAGAGAAUCAGAGCCUCGGAACUAUCAUGCUUGCUAUGUCCACGAUCCUAAAGGUCAGGCCAGCUCUGACCCUAGGGACAGUCUGGGAGUGUAUCCCAGCCCUCUACCUCUCUGACAUGGAAUGAGCCAGUGGAAGGAUGGUUCCUCUCUCCCAACCUCCCAUCAUCCCAGGUCAGCCCUGGCCAGGUAAAUGGCCAGGGCUCCUGUACGUAGUAGUCAGCUUCUUGUGUCUGUAACGAAACAGCCGAGGAAGGCUAACUUUAUAAAGAAGAGAAGUUUAUUUGACUCCCAGUUUUAGAGCUUUCAAAAUCUGAAAAGCAUGACACAGGCUCUGGUGAAGAGCGCAUGGCAGAUGGCGGGAGUAUGAGGGGGAGGAAGGAUCGCACCUCAGACAGAGUGCGAUGGAGCUGGGCUUUUAUAACAACCUUCCCACAACAACUAACCAGAGACCCACGAGAAACUUCUCAGUGCUUCUAAGGAAGGCACAUCAGCAUGGACCUGGAGGUCCUCUGCUAGAAACAGCCCCAUUUUUGCAUGUGUGCAUUAUGUGGCCUGUGUGCCUACAUGUUUGCACGUAUGCGAGUGAACACAUGGAUAAUAUGCAUGCAUGUGCAGGCCAGAGGGGAUGCUGGGUAUAUCUUCCUUGAUGGACCCCUAUCUUAUGUAUUAAGGCAAGGUUUCUCACUUGAACCCAAAGCUUGCCCAUACACAUAGUCUAGAUAGCCGGUCCUCUUCAGGGACGCCCCCCAUCUGCCUCCAGAGUGCUGGGAUUAUUUACCCAGUGUCUCUGUGGGUGCUUAGGGUUUGGACUGUGAUGCUCAUGCUUGCUCAAAAGCACUUGUCCUAUAGAGCUGUCUCUCUAGCCCCUAGAUUCCUACCUCUCGGUGAUGGUUUGUAUGUGUUUGGCCCAGGGAGUGGCACUAUUUGGAGGUGUGGCCUUGUUGGAAUAGGUGUAUCAUUGUAGGCAUGGGCUUUAAUACCCUAGUCCUAGCUGCCCGGAAGCCAGUCUCCUCAUAUGAAGCCAGCCUUCAGAUGAAGAUGUAGAACUCUCAGCUCUGCUUGCACCAUGCCUGCCUGGAUGCUGCCGUGUUCUUGUCUUGAUGAUUAUGGGCUGAACCUGUAAGCCAGCCACAGUUCAGUGCUGUUCUUAUAAGAGUUGCCUUGGUCAUGGUGUCUAUUUACAACAGUAAACCUCUAAGACACUGUUAAAGGUGCCCCAGUCCUUCUCAACCCUGCCACCCUGCAGACCAAAGUCCCACCACACAAUUCCCUGGACAUCAAGUAACAGGUCUCCGCGCCUGUUUCUCUAAAGCACAGCUUCCCUUAGAGGGAGGCUUUGCAGAUCAGCAUCCCCUGGUCUCUGGUAGGGAUGACGACAGAACUGUCAGGCUGGCGACCUUUGCCCUCCACUCUUAUCUGGAAGAAAGGAAGUCCUGAGGGUGUCUUGGUAUGCCGAGGCAUGUAGGAUGAGAUUUUUUUUUUCCUUGUGCCUAGGUGCCUCCCCCUCCCCCUCGCACCCCAUCAGAAAUCACUUGGAACCUAAUUUUGUAACUGAAUUCACACUCUGAGAAAGCCUUUGAGGAGUCAUCUUGCUUCCUCUACUCUGAGAAAACCCAGCCCCAGCUGAUGACCAGACCCUCUGAAGACACAGAACACCGUGCUAUCCGAGAGCCACAGUGGACUCUGGGGACCUCCUUUUUUCCUCUAUCCCUGAGGCAGAGGCUAUUGCCAUCUUUGUCAGGGACAGGGGAGGGAUGUCCCUGAGUUCUCCUUGCAGAAAGGAAAGGAGUGCCAUGGACCGUCACACUGCAGCAAGCAAGGCCUGCAUUUCUAGAGGCUUCAGAGAGCUCAUUUUGAGAAAGGAGCAGGCAUGCCUCUGUUUUCAUCACCCAGAUGACAAGGAUUGGACACCUUUGAUGUCCACUCCACCCCACCCCACACUCUUUCAAAAUGCAUUUGCUCACAAUGUCAGGCCAGUGUUUCAGGAGAGAGGUGGGCACCUCAGUGCUCCUGCCCAUCUGACCCAUGGUAAUGGCACACAGACAUACUGCCUGCUCUCCCACCCUGUCCCUUCCUUUCUGUUCUGCAGAACCUAUGUAUGGACUUCUCAUUAUUUCAAGCAAGAGAACCUUGUGGAAACUUCCAGUGCCACAGAGGCGGGAGCAUGAGCUUGCAAAGCCUUCUCUGCAGUCGCUGCCGCAGGGACAGCUCUGUUGGCCCAAGCUCAGGUCAGAACAGGCACCAGGGAUGGAGAAGCUAGGUUCCCUGAGGGAGAAAGGCCAGUCAGUGCAGAGGAAAUGGCUCUGUGGCAGGAUAGAGUGGCCUUGCUCAGUGGGAGCCCCUAACCAUAUGACUAGGUACCUAUUACCACUCUAUCAUCUGGGAACAAAAGCUGCUCCUGACUCUAGAGGCAGCGACCAAGAAGUGAGGGCUCUCUGGGUCUGUGACAAAUUAUGUCAUUGUCCUUGACCUAACAGUGAAGUCACCUACCUCUCAGCCACUAAGUGGCAGAAACGUGCCUGACUAGGCCCUCCAUUCUCAGGACAUCUGACCUCUCUGCCACUUUGACCUUCACGAGAGCCCAGCUGCCUGCACUCACCCAGGCUAUCUGCCGAGGUCCCUGUCCUUGGCCUCUGCUGAGCCCUGCCCCCUUCCACAUCUGAAUGAGCUAGGGUCUGAGGGAUACCGCGCUGGAAGAGAGACCAGCCUGAAGCUUUUCCCUUUAGGUCUGAGUUAGUCCUCCCAAACCCUUGAAAGGGAGCAGCUGAGGGCAUAUUUUACUUCAGGCACACAGUCUAGUUUUCUUUAUACCCACCCUUGUCAUUUCUGGACAGUGGAGCAGCCAGAAUUGAAUCUCUAGGAGCUGGGAGAAAGGGUAUAGAGGUGACUUCCAAAGAGCAAUAGAGACUAGAACUCCCCGAGUGUGGCAGAUUGCAGAGAGCUGGGUGACAGCAUCGCCCUCCCCCUCUACCUCCACCUCCAGAGAUGAGGUAAGGGGCCUUCCCAGAUGCUAGCUCCUUCCAUCCCAUCUGAGGGAAUGAAGGGCCUGAAUGUGCUCAGGUCCCUGGUCAGAUUAGAGAUUGACUUCGAGCAUUAAAAGAGGUAAGACGUUUGGCAGUCAGUGGUGUUUGUAUGUUUCAACCUCCCCCGGUGUUCAACUGCCACCUCUAAGUCUCAGACUUCAUGCCUUCCCAAAUCCCUAGUCUCACGGUGGGCAGAAGCCAGACGGCCUGCCUGGGUUGCAAUCCCAGCCCAGUCACAUUCCAGUGGAGUGCCUAUCAGCUGGUUAACUAGCCAUUCUUAUUCUCAGUCCCUUGACCUAUAAAUGCAGCAUCACUGUGUUCAUCGCCUGCCUUGAGAUGCCUGAGGGACCAGCUGAAGUGAGACAAGGACACAGGCACCCAGGACAGUUCACUGGCCCAGCCAGACAACACAUGCUACUAAUCCACGCCUCAGCAGCUUCCUGGUUGGUUAUCCUGCCUCCUUCUGUAGGAAGCAGCAACGUGUAGGAGCUGACUCAACACUACCUCUCCAUUUUGGUGACAUUGCUUGGAAUCAAAACAUGGAGAGGGCUUCAGUGCUUUGGUUAGGGGAUCCCGCUGCCUCAACAACAGAAUAUGUAAGGCUCACUUCAGCGCCCAACACACUUAGGGUUAGGACCCAAGAUGUCCAUUUCAUAACCCCACCCCACCCCUGCCCCAUUUAGUACCUAUGUAGCAGUCCCUGAGCUGGACGGAUAUUGGCAGAGCAAUUUAACAUUUCCCUCAGCCUGAUGCCCAAGGUGCCUUUGCAGCUAGGGCGACAGAGCGGCUGGUGUUGCCUUGAAAAUAUGGGACACAUCUGCCCCCUCGUGGCAGGGUCA
Molecule: long non-coding RNA, 22945 nt
Organism: Mus musculus (house mouse)
Lineage: Eukaryota; Metazoa; Chordata; Mammalia; Rodentia; Muridae
Product: predicted gene, 33449
Exons: 2
Source: RefSeq, a predicted model, not a curated record